Molecule: ribosomal RNA, 467 nt
Filed under: uncultured bacterium
Lineage: Bacteria
Description: partial 16S ribosomal RNA
Rfam family: Bacterial small subunit ribosomal RNA
Source: RNAcentral
GACGAACGCUGGCGGCGUGCUUAACACAUGCAAGUCGAACGAUGACGACCGAGCUUGCUCGGUCUGAUUAGUGGCGAACGGGUGAGUAACACGUGAGCAACCUGCCCUUCACUCUGGGAUAACCUCGGGAAAUCGGGGCUAAUACCGGAUAUGAGCUCCUGUCGCAUGGCGGGUGUUGGAAAGUUUUUCGGUGAAGGAUGGGCUCGUGGCCUAUCAGUUUGUUGGUGAGGUAGUGGCUCACCAAGGCGAUGACGGGUAGCCGGCCUGAGAGGGCGACCGGCUACACUGGGACUGAGACACGGCCCAGACUCCUACGGGAGGCAGCAGUGGGGAAUAUUGCACAAUGGGCGAAAGCCUGAUGCAGCGACGCCGCGUGAGGGAUGACGGCCUUCGGGUUGUAAACCUCUUUCAGCAGGGAAGAAGCGAAAGUGACGGUACCUGCAGAAGAAGCGCCGGCUAACUACGUG